RNAcentral lists this long non-coding RNA (3050 nucleotides) under Salmo salar (Atlantic salmon). RNAcentral's name for it is "lncRNA (ENSSSAG00000111559.1)". Lineage: Eukaryota; Metazoa; Chordata; Actinopteri; Salmoniformes; Salmonidae. The record is from RNAcentral.
UCCUCUCCUCCUCCUCUCCCCUUCCUCUCCCCUUCCUCUCCUCCUCCUCUCCCCUUCCUCUCCCCCUCCUCUCCCCUUCCUCUCCCCUUCCUCUCCUCCUCCUCUCCCCUUCCUCUCCCCUUCCUCUCCUCCUCCUCUCCCCUUCCUCUCCCCUUCCUCUCCCCUUCCUCUCCCCUUCCUCUCCCCUUCCUCUCCCCCUCCUCUCCUCCUCCAAUGCUGUUGUAAAGGAUCUCCAUUCUCAGGUUGUUAACAGGUCUAUAUUUGGGUUGGAUUGUUUAUAGUGGUGUCUGUAUUAACAUCAUAUAGCUUUGUCCAACUCCAGUAGGAUUAUAAUCUAUGAAUCUCCUUCUCAUUAAAUAUAACCUCUGGUUUAAACUCUCAUUCCUUACUCUGUCCGCCUGUCAAUCCCUCUCCCUGCAUCAAAGCUUUAGUGACUUAGUUAACUCUGGUUCAGCUGCCUGAGUUGCUCUGGUUUAGCUGCCUGAGUUGCUCUGGUUCAGCUGCCUGAGUUGCUCUGGUUCAGCUGCCUGAGUUGCUCUGGUUUAGCUGCCUGAGUUGCUCUGGUUCAGCUGCCUGAGUUGCUCUGGUUCAGCUGCCUGAGUUGCUCUGGUUCAGCUGCCUGAGUUGCUCUGGUUCAGCUGCCUGAGUUGCUCUGGUUCAGCUGCCUGAGUUGCUCUGGUUCAGCUGCCUGAGUUGCUCUGGUUUAGCUGCCUGAGUUGCUCUGGUUCAGCUGCCUGAGUUGCUCUGGUUCAGCUGCCUGAGUUGCUCUGGUUUAGCUGCCUGAGUUGCUCUGGUUCAGCUGCCUGAGUUGCUCUGGUUUAGCUGCCUGAGUUGCUCUGGUUUAGCUGCCUGAGUUACCUGGCUGUUGGAUGGAAUUUGUAUGAAUGUUCUGUGAUGGUUGUAUGGAUGUUCUGUGAUGGUUGUGUGGAUGUUCUGUGAUGGUUGUGUGGAUGUUCUGUGAUGGUUGUAUGAUGUUCUGUGAUGGUUGUAUGGAUGUUCUGUGAUGGUUGUAUGGAUGUUCUGUGGUGGUUGUACGGAUGUUCUGUGAUGGUUGUAUGGAUGUUCUGUGAUGGUUGUGUGAAUGUUCUGUGAUGGUUGUAUGAAUGUUCUGUGAUGGUUGUAUGGAUGUUCUGUGAUGGUUGUAUGAAUGUUCUGUGAUCGUUGUAUGGAUGUUCUGUGAUGGUUGUAUGGAUGUUCUGUGAUGGUUGUAUGGAUGUUCUGUGAUGGUUGUGUGAAUGUUCUGUGAUGGUUGUAUGGAUGUUCUGUGAUGGUUGUAUGGAUGUUCUGUGGUGGUUGUAUGGAUGUUCUGUGAUGGUUGUAUGGAUGUUCUGUGAUGGUUGUGUGAAUGUUCUGUGAUGGUUGUAUGGAUGUUCUGUGAUGGUUGUAUGGAUGUUCUGUGAUGGUUGUAUGGAUGUUCUGUGGUGGUUGUAUGGAUGUUAUAUUGUGGUUGUAUGGAUGUUCUGUGGUGGUUGUAUGAAUGUUCUGUGAUGGUUGUAUGGAUGUUCUGUGGUGGUUGUAUGAAUGUUCUGUGAUGGUUGUAUGGAUGUUCUGUGAUGGUUGUAUGAAUGUUCUGUGGUGGUUGUAUGGAUGUUCUGUGAUGGUUGUAUGAAUGUUCUGUGAUGGUUGUGUGAAUGUUCUGUGAUGGUUGUAUGGAUGUUCUGUGAUGGUUGUAUGAAUGUUCUGUGGUGGUUGUAUGGAUGUUCUGUGAUGGUUGUAUGGAUGUUCUGUGAUGGUUGUAUGGAUGUUCUGUGAUGGUUGUAUGGAUGUUCUGUGAUGGUUGUAUGAAUGUUCUGUGAUGGUUGUGUGAAUGUUCUGUGAUGGUUGUAUGAUGUUCUGUGAUGGUUGUAUGAAUGUUCUGUGAUGGUUGUAUGAAUGCUCUGUGAUGGUUGUAUGAAUGUUCUGUGAUGGUUGUAUGGAUGUUAUGAGAUGGUUGUGUGGAUGUUAGAUGUUGUAUGAAUGUUCUGUGAUGGUUGUAUGAUGUUCUGUGAUGGUUGUAUGGAUGUUCUGUGAUGGUUGUAUGAAUGCUCUGUGAUGGUUGUAUGAAUGUUCUGUGAUGGUUGUAUGGAUGUUAUGAGAUGGUUGUGUGGAUGUUAGAUGUUGUAUGAAUGUUCUGUGAUGGUUGUGUGAAUGUUCUGUGAUGGUUGUGUGAAUGUUCUGUGAUGGUUGUGUGAAUGUUCUGUGAUGGUUGUAUGAAUGUUCUGUGAUGGUUGUGUGGAUGUUCUGUGAUGUUGUAUGAAUGUUAGGAGAUGGUUGUGUGGAUGUUCUGUGAUGGUUGUGUGGAUGUUAGGAGAUGGUUGUAUGAAUGUUAGGAGAUGGUUGUGUGGAUGUUCAGUGAUGGUUGUGUGAAUGUUCUGUGAUGGUUGUGUGAAUGUUCUGUGAUGGUUGUGUGAAUGUUCUGUGAUGGUUGUGUGAAUGUUCUGUGAUAGUUGUAUGAAUGUUCUGUGAUGGUUGUGUGGCUGUUCUGUGAUGGUUGUGUGGAUGUUAGGAGAUGGUUGUGUGGAUGUUAGGAGAUGGUUGUGUGGAUGUUCCUCCCAAUACAUUGAGGUUGACAGGUCUUCUCAGUGUUCUCUGACCCUGAGGUAGGACUAGGGGUCAGGGUGAGGUAGGGCUAGGGGUCAGGGUGAGGUAGGGCUAGUGGUCAGGGUGAGGUAGGGUUAGUGAGGUAGGGCUAGGGGUCAGGGUGAGGUAGGGCUAGGGGUCAGGGUGAGGUAGGGUUAGUGAGGUAGGGCUAGGGGUCAGGGUUAGUGAGGUAGGGCUAGGGGACAGGGUGAGGUAGGGCUAGGGGUCAGGGUGAGGUAGGGUUAGUGAGGUAGGGCUAGGGGACAGGGUGAGGUAGGGCUAGUGAGGUAGGGCUAGGGGUUUGGGUUGCUAGUUUGGUAGUGUUAGUUUGAUAGACAGGUGUCAGAUUGAGUGUCUGAGCCUGAACCAACUGACCAUCUAACCUUUAACCUCUGACCUGGAAGUCUUAUGAAUAACUCUCUGGCAUUGCUGUCAGACUUAGUAGCCGACAGGAAGUCUGAGGUCUUACGCGACACACAACUCUGUCCUGC